This 253-nucleotide ribosomal RNA is filed under the name uncultured bacterium. RNAcentral's name for it is "partial 16S ribosomal RNA". It matches the Rfam family "Bacterial small subunit ribosomal RNA", at positions 524 to 776 of the family's 1533-position model. The record is from RNAcentral.
GACGGAGGGUGCUAGCGUUGUUCGGAAUUACUGGGCGUAAAGGGCGCGUAGGCGGCCCGGUUAGUCGGAUGUGAAAGCCCGGGGCUCAACCUCGGAACUGCAUUCGAAACUGCCAGGCUCGAGGACGGAAGAGGAGAGUGGAAUACCCAGUGUAGAGGUGAAAUUCGUAGAUAUUGGGUGGAACACCGGUGGCGAAAGCGGCUCUCUGGUCCGGUUCUGACGCUGAGGCGCGAAAGCGUGGGGAGCAAACAGG